RNAcentral lists this ribosomal RNA (253 nucleotides) under uncultured bacterium. RNAcentral's name for it is "partial 16S ribosomal RNA". It matches the Rfam family "Bacterial small subunit ribosomal RNA", at positions 524 to 776 of the family's 1533-position model. The record is from RNAcentral.
GACGUAGGGGGCCAGCGUUGUUCGGAAUUACUGGGGGUAAAGGGUUCGUAGGCGGUGUGGCAAGUCGGGAGUGAAAUUUCUGGGCUCAACUCAGAGACUGCUUCCGAAACUGCUGUGCUGGAGUGUGGGAGAGGCGCGUGGAAUUGCAGGUGUAGCGGUGAAAUGCGUAGAUAUCUGCAGGAACACCCGUGGCGAAAGCGGCGCGCUGGACCACUACUGACGCUGAGGAACGAAAGCUAGGGGAGCAAACAGG